Molecule: ribosomal RNA, 625 nt
Filed under: Colletotrichum sp. CMON37
Lineage: Eukaryota; Fungi; Ascomycota; Sordariomycetes; Glomerellales; Glomerellaceae
Description: LSU rRNA
Rfam family: Eukaryotic large subunit ribosomal RNA
Source: RNAcentral
AUCAAUAAGCGGAGGAAAAGAAACCAACAGGGAUUGCCUCAGUAACGGCGAGUGAAGCGGCAACAGCUCAAAUUUGAAAUCUGGCCCCCCCGGGUCCGAGUUGUAAUUUGCAGAGGAUGCUUUUGGCGCGGUGCCUUCCGAGUUCCCUGGAACGGGACGCCAUAGAGGGUGAGAGCCCCGUACGGUUGGACACCAAGCCUGUGUAAAGCUCCUUCGACGAGUCGAGUAGUUUGGGAAUGCUGCUCAAAAUGGGAGGUAUAUUUCUUCUAAAGCUAAAUACCGGCCAGAGACCGAUAGCGCACAAGUAGAGUGAUCGAAAGAUGAAAAGCACUUUGAAAAGAGGGUUAAACAGCACGUGAAAUUGUUAAAAGGGAAGCGCUUGUGACCAGACUUGCGCCCGGUGAAUCACCCAGCUCUCGCGGCUGGGGCACUUUGCCGGCUCAGGCCAGCAUCAGCUCGCCGUCGGGGACAAAAGCUUCGGGAACGUAGCUCUCUUCGGGGAGUGUUAUAGCCCGCUGCACAAUACCCUUCGGCGGGCUGAGGUACGCGCUCCGCAAGGAUGCUGGCGUAAUGGUCAUCAGCGACCCGUCUUGAAACACGGACCAAGGAGUCAACCUUAUGUGCG